Molecule: ribosomal RNA, 449 nt
Filed under: uncultured bacterium
Lineage: Bacteria
Description: partial 16S ribosomal RNA
Rfam family: Bacterial small subunit ribosomal RNA
Source: RNAcentral
AGCGAACGCUGGCGGCAGGCCUAACACAUGCAAGUCGAACGAACUCUUCGGAGUUAGUGGCGGACGGGUGAGUAACACGUGGGAACGUGCCUUUAGGUUCGGAAUAACUCAGGGAAACUUGUGCUAAUACCGAAUGUGCCCUUCGGGGGAAAGAUUUAUCGCCUUUAGAGCGGCCCGCGUCUGAUUAGCUUGUUGGUGGGGUAAUGGCCCACCAAGGCGACGAUCAGUAGCUGGUCUGAGAGGAUGACCCGCCACAUUGGGACUGAGACACGGCCCAAACUCCGACGGGAGGCAGCAGUGGGGAAUCUUGCGCAAUGGGCGAAAGCCUGACGCAGCCAUGCCGCGUGGAUGAUGAAGGUCUUAGGAUUGUAAAAUCCUUUCACCGGUGAAGAUAAUGACUGUAGCCGGAGAAGAAGCCCCGGCUAACUUCGUGCCAGCCGCCGCGGUAA